Molecule: microRNA, 21 nt
Filed under: Medicago truncatula (barrel medic)
Lineage: Eukaryota; Viridiplantae; Streptophyta; Magnoliopsida; Fabales; Fabaceae
Description: mtr-miR5230
Source: miRBase by way of RNAcentral
CAAAUCUUGAAUCGAUUGGCA